RNAcentral lists this ribosomal RNA (328 nucleotides) under uncultured Ruminococcus sp. RNAcentral's name for it is "partial 16S ribosomal RNA". Lineage: Bacteria; Bacillati; Bacillota; Clostridia; Eubacteriales; Oscillospiraceae. The record is from RNAcentral.
GGAGUUUGGGCCGUGUCUCAGUCCCAAUGUGGCCGUCCGCCCUCUCAGGCCGGCUACAGAUCGUCGGUUUGGUAGGCCAUUACCCUGCCAACUGCCUAAUCCAACGCGGGCCCAUCCCAUACCGCCGGAACUUUUCACACAAAACGAUGCCGUUUCGUGCGCUUAUGCGGUAUUAGCAGACGUUUCCAUCUGUUGUCCCCCUGUAUGGGGCAGGUUACCCACGCGUUACUCACCCGUCCGCCACUCGGUAUAACAAAAUCCAUCCGAAAACUUCAUUCGUUAUACCUCGUUCGACUUGCAUGUGUUAAGCACGCCGCCAGCGUUCAUC